GAGCGAACGCGAAAGAGCCCAAACCGGGUUGCGUGCAAUCCGGGGUUCGGACCGCAUAAAUGAUUGACGAUGGAUAGAAGAAUGGUUUUGGGAAAGCCAGCCAGAGAGGGUGAAAGCCCCGUAUUCGAAAUCUAAAGUCACAUGGCGGGAUCCAGAGUAGGACGAGACACGAGAAACCUUGUCUGAAUGAGCGGAGACCACUCCGUAAGGCUAAAUACUCCUUAGUGACCGAUAGCGCAUAGUACUGUGAAGGAAAGGUGAAAAGGACCCCGGGAGGGGAGUGAAAGAGAACCUGAAACCCUGUGUUUACAAGCUGUGGAACACCGCAAGGUGAACCGCGUACUUUUUGUAGAACGGUCCGGCGAGUUACGGUGUCUGGCAAGGUUAAGUACUUAAGGUAUGGAGCCGAAGGGAAACCAAGUCUUA
Molecule: ribosomal RNA, 426 nt
Filed under: Lachnospiraceae bacterium XBB1006
Lineage: Bacteria; Bacillati; Bacillota; Clostridia; Lachnospirales; Lachnospiraceae
Description: Bacterial large subunit ribosomal RNA
Rfam family: Bacterial large subunit ribosomal RNA
Source: Rfam by way of RNAcentral